CACCGCGGUUAUACGAGAGGCCCAAGUUGACAAACGCCGGCGUAAAAUGUGGCUAUAUACAGUAUUACACUAAAGCUAAACAUCUUCAAAGCUGUUAUAUGCACCCGAAGACAGGAAGUGCUUCCACGAAAGUGGCUUUAACAAUAUUAGCCCACGAAAGCUAGGACA
This 168-nucleotide ribosomal RNA is filed under the name Rhinogobius duospilus (white cheek goby). Its description in RNAcentral is "partial 12S rRNA". Lineage: Eukaryota; Metazoa; Chordata; Actinopteri; Gobiiformes; Gobiidae. The record is from RNAcentral.